Vicugna pacos (alpaca) is the source of this 132-nucleotide non-coding RNA. The record is from RefSeq and is a predicted model, not a curated record. NCBI's taxonomy places the organism in Eukaryota, Metazoa, Chordata, Mammalia, Artiodactyla, Camelidae.
CCAGCAAUAAAGCAAAAGAAUGAAAUUUUACCACCUGCAACAACAAGGACAGACCUGGAGAAUAUUAUGAUUAAUGAAGUAAGUCAGACAGAGAAAGACAAAUGCUGUAUGUUUUCACUUCUAUGUGGAAUC